This 428-nucleotide ribosomal RNA is filed under the name Acanthoscelides obtectus. RNAcentral's name for it is "partial small subunit ribosomal RNA". Lineage: Eukaryota; Metazoa; Arthropoda; Insecta; Coleoptera; Chrysomelidae. The record is from RNAcentral.
UAAACUAGGGAUUAGAUAACCUAUUAUUAAAAAUGUAAAUUUUUUUACUUAAUUAGUAUUAGUUAUGUUCUUGAAAAUUAAAAAAUUUGGCGGUAUUUUAGUCUUUUCAGAGGAACCUGUUCUAUAAUCGAUAGUCCACGAUUAGAUGCACUUUAUUUAUUAGUUUAUAUAUCGUCGUAGUUUAAAUAUUUUAAUAGAAUUAUAAAUAUUUAAAAUUUUUUAUUAAAAAAUAAAUCAGAUCAAGGUGUAGUUUAUAAUAAAGAAGAAAUGGGUUACAAUAAAUUUAUUUUAAAAUAAUUUUUGUUAAAAAAAUUUGAAUUUGGAUUUGAGAGUAAUUUUUUAGAUUUUUUUAAGAUGAUUAAAGCUCUAAAAUAUGUACAUAUCGCCCGUCGCUUUCAUUUUAAAAUGAAAUAAGUCGUAAACAUAGU